This 892-nucleotide ribosomal RNA is filed under the name uncultured organism. RNAcentral's name for it is "bacterial SSU rRNA". It matches the Rfam family "Bacterial small subunit ribosomal RNA", at positions 8 to 912 of the family's 1533-position model. The record is from RNAcentral.
CAGACUUUGAUCAUGGCUCAGGACGAACGCUGGCGGCGCGCCUAACACAUGCAAGUCGAACGAGAAAGAGGGAGCUUGCUUCCUCAAUCGAGUGGCGAACGGGUGAGUAACGCGUGAGGAACCUGCCUCAAAGAGGGGGACAACAGUUGGAAACGACUGCUAAUACCGCAUAAGCCCACAGCUCGGCAUCGAGCAGAGGGAAAAGGAGCAAUCCGCUUUGAGAUGGCCUCGCGUCCGAUUAGCUAGUUGGUGAGGUAAUGGCCCACCAAGGCGACGAUCGGUAGCCGGACUGAGAGGUUGAACGGCCACAUUGGGACUGAGACACGGCCCAGACUCCUACGGGAGGCAGCAGUGGGGAAUAUUGCACAAUGGGGGAAACCCUGAUGCAGCGACGCCGCGUGGAGGAAGAAGGUCUUCGGAUUGUAAACUCCUGUUGUUGAGGAAGAUAAUGACGGUACUCAACAAGGAAGUGACGGCUAACUACGUGCCAGCAGCCGCGGUAAAACGUAGGUCACAAGCGUUGUCCGGAAUUACUGGGUGUAAAGGGAGCGCAGGCGGGCGAUCAAGUUGGAAGUGAAAUCCAUGGGCUCGACCCAUGAACUGCUUUCAAAACUGAUUGUCUUGAGUAGUGCAGAGGUAGGCGGAAUUCCCGGUGUAGCGGUGGAAUGCGUAGAUAUCGGGAGGAACACCAGUGGCGAAGGCGGCCUACUGGGCACCAACUGACGCUGAGGCUCGAAAGUGUGGGUAGCAAACAGGAUUAGAUACCCUGGUAGUCCACACCGUAAACGAUGAUUACUAGGUGUUGGAGGAUUGACCCCUUCAGUGCCGCAGUUAACACAAUAAGUAAUCCACCUGGGGAGUACGACCGCAAGGUUGCAACUCAAAGGAAUUG